This 510-nucleotide ribosomal RNA is filed under the name uncultured Actinomycetes bacterium. Its description in RNAcentral is "bacterial SSU rRNA". It matches the Rfam family "Bacterial small subunit ribosomal RNA", at positions 355 to 857 of the family's 1533-position model. The record is from RNAcentral. Lineage: Bacteria; Bacillati; Actinomycetota; Actinomycetes.
UGGGGAAUCUUGCGCAAUGGGCGAAAGCCUGACGCAGCGACGCCGCGUGCAGGAAGAAGGCCUUCGGGUUGUAAACCGCUUUCAGGAGGGACGAGGCCACUCGGGUUAAUAGCCCAGAGGGUGACGGUACCUCCAGAAGAAGCCCCGGCUAACUACGUGCCAGCAGCCGCGGUAAUACGUAGGGGGCUAGCGUUGUCCGGAUUUAUUGGGCGUAAAGAGCGCGUAGGCGGCCGAGUAAGUCCGACGUGAAAUCUGGAGGCUCAACCUCCAGCGGUCGUUGGAAACUACUCGGCUAGAGUCCGGAAGAGGAGAGUGGAAUUCCUGGUGUAGCGGUGAAAUGCGCAGAUAUCAGGAAGAACACCGAUGGCGAAGGCAGCUCUCUGGGACGGUACUGACGCUGAGGCGCGAAAGCGUGGGGAGCGAACAGGAUUAGAUACCCUGGUAGUCCACGCCGUAAACGAUGGGUGCUAGGUGUGGGCGGUGUCGACUCCGCCCGUGCCGAAGCUAACG